AAGUCGGAGGUGAAAGCCUGGGGCUCAACCCCAGAACUGCCUUCGAUACUGGCGGUCUUGAGUAUGGUAGAGGUUGGUGGAACUCCGAGUGCAGAGGUGAAAUUCGUAGAUAUUCGGAAGAACACCAGUGGCGAAGGCGGCCAACUGGACCAUUACUGACGCUGAGGUGCGAAAGCGUGGGGAGCAAACGGGAUUAGAUACCCUGGUAGUCCACGCUGUAAACGAUGAGAGCUAGCCGUUGGGGUGCAUGCACCUCAGUGGCGCAGCUAACGCGUUAAGCUCUCCGCCUGGGGAGUACGGUCGCAAGAUUAGAAGUCAAAGGAAUUGACGGGGGCCCGCACAAGCGGUGGAGCAUGUGGUUGAAUUCGAAGCAACGCGCAGAACCUUACCAGCCCUCGACAUGCCUCGGAAGUGGACGAGAGAUCGAUCACGCUCUUCGGAGCCGGGGACACCAGGUGCUGCAUGGCUGUCGUCAGCUCGUGUCGUGAGAUGUUGGGUUAAGUCCCGCAACGAGCGCAACCCUCGCCCUUAGUUGCCAUCAUUCAGUUGGGCACUCUAGGGGGACUGCCGGUGAUAAGCCGGAGGAAGGUGGGGAUGACGUCAAGUCCUCAUGGCCCUUACGGGCUGGGCUACACACGUGCUACAAUGGCGGUGACAGUGGGCAGCAAGGCAGCAAUGCCAAGCUAAUCUCAAAAAGCCGUCUCAGUUCGGAUUGAGGUCUGCAACUCGA
This 730-nucleotide ribosomal RNA is filed under the name uncultured bacterium. RNAcentral's name for it is "bacterial SSU rRNA". It matches the Rfam family "Bacterial small subunit ribosomal RNA", at positions 585 to 1315 of the family's 1533-position model. The record is from RNAcentral.